AGCGAACGCUGGCGGCAGGCCUAACACAUGCAAGUCGAACGGACCUUUCGGGGUUAGUGGCGGACGGGUGAGUAACACGUGGGAACGUGCCUUUAGGUUCGGAAUAGCUCCUGGAAACGGGUGGUAAUGCCGAAUGUGCCCUUCGGGGGAAAGAUUUAUCGCCUUUAGAGCGGCCCGCGUCUGAUUAGCUAGUUGAGUGAGGUAACGGCGCACCAAGGCGACGAUCAGUAGCUGGUCUGAGAGGAUGGUCCGCCACAUUGGGACUGAGACACGGCCCAAACUCCUACGCGAGGCAGCAGUGGGUAAUCUUGCGAAAUGGGGGAAGGCAUGACGCUGCUAUGCCGCGUGAAUGAUGUAGUUCUUAAGGUUGUAAAAUUCUUUCACCGGGGCCGAUAAUGACGGUACCCGAUGAAGAAGCCCCGGCUAACUUCGUG
This 434-nucleotide ribosomal RNA is filed under the name uncultured bacterium. RNAcentral describes it as "partial 16S ribosomal RNA". It matches the Rfam family "Bacterial small subunit ribosomal RNA", at positions 29 to 507 of the family's 1533-position model. The record is from RNAcentral.